This 123-nucleotide non-coding RNA is filed under the name Mucochytrium quahogii. Lineage: Eukaryota; Bigyra; Thraustochytrida; Thraustochytriidae. The record is from RNAcentral.
GGCGUUGUACCAAUUCCCACCCAGCCUGCCGUUGCCAAUUGCAAACUUUUCAGGGUCUGAAUUUGGACUUGGAUUUCGAAUAGCCAGAAACCAGCAACUUUCUGGAGAGCUUGCUCCGGUCGG